AUGAGGCCCAGGCCAGGCCAGGUGGGCCAUGAGGCCCCUGGGGGGCGAGGCCCUGGCAGGCAGUGCUGGCCCAUGCUGCUGGGCCUGGCCAUAGGUGCCCUUGGCCUGGUGUCCGCAACGACAGCACCGAAGAGCAGGGCCCUGGGCCCCAGAGAUAGGGCAGGAAGCAGCCGGUCCAGCCUGUGGAGCCUUUGGGGCAGGUCCCUGCUCCAUCCUGGCCCCUGGGAGGGAGGCCCCAGGUGCUGGCCCCAUGGGACUUGGUCCGAGCAUCAGUCACGAUGGUAUGUCUUUGGCAGUGGGACCCAACUCACCGUCCUAGGUCAGGCCAAGGCCGCCCCCUUGGUCACUCUCUUCCCGCCCUCCUCUGAGGAGCUCAAAGACAACAAGGCCACACUGGUGUGUCUGAUGAGUGACUUCUACCCGGGCGCCGUGACGGUGGCCUGGAAGGCAGACGGCACACCCGUCACCCAGGGCGUGGAGACCACCAAGCCCUCCAAACAGAGCAACAACAAGUACGGGGCCAGCAGCUUCCUGACCCUGUCGCCCCAGCAGUGGAAUUCCCACAAAAGCUACAGCUGCCAGGUCACGCACGAAGGGAGCACCGUCGAGAAGACAGUGGCCCCUGCAGAGUGUUCUUAGGUCCCCAACCCUCACCCACCCACGGGGGCCUGGAGCUGCAGAAUCCCAGGGGACGGGUCUCCCCUUACUCCCCCCACCCCGGUCACCCCAGCCCUU
Non-coding RNA from Cynocephalus volans (Philippine flying lemur), 735 nucleotides. The record is from the annotation of a RefSeq genome assembly. NCBI's taxonomy places the organism in Eukaryota, Metazoa, Chordata, Mammalia, Dermoptera, Cynocephalidae.